GCCGAGCACAGUGGCAGGUGCCAGUAGUACCAGCUACUCAGGAGGCUGAGGUGGGAGGAUGUCUUGAGCCCAGGAGUUCUGGACUGUAUGUAGUGCGAUAUGCUGAUUGGGUAUCCGCCCUAAGUUCAGCAUCAAUAUGGUGACCUCCUGGAAGCAGGGGGACCACCAGGUUGCCUAAGAAGGGGUAAGUGAGGGGUAACCGGCCCAGGUCUCAUUGGAGCAGGUCAAAACUCCCAUGCUGAUCAGUAGUGGGACGGUGGCUGUGAAUAGCCACUGCACUCCAGCCUGGGCAACAUAGUGAGACCCCAUCUCUA
Molecule: unclassified non-coding RNA, 314 nt
Organism: Callithrix jacchus (white-tufted-ear marmoset)
Lineage: Eukaryota; Metazoa; Chordata; Mammalia; Primates; Cebidae
Rfam family: Metazoan signal recognition particle RNA
About the family: The signal recognition particle (SRP) is a universally conserved ribonucleoprotein.
Source: Ensembl